AGAGUUUGAUCCUGGCUCAGGAUGAACGCUGGCGGCGUGCUUAACACAUGCAAGUCGAACGAAGCACUACCGACGGAACUUUUCGGAGGGAAGAUGGUAAUGACUGAGUGGCGGACGGGUGAGUAACGCGUGGGCAACCUGCCCCAUAGAGGGGGACAACAGCUGGAAACGGCUGCUAAUACCGCAUAACAAGGAGAGAGCGCAUGUUCUUUUCUUCAAAGAUUUAUCGCUAUGGGAUGGACCCGCGUCUGAUUAGCUGGUUGGUGAGGUAACGGCUCACCAAGGCGACGAUCAGUAGCCGGCUUGAGAGAGUGGACGGCCACAUUGGGACUGAGACACGGCCCAGACUCCUACGGGAGGCAGCAGUGGGGAAUAUUGCACAAUGGGGGAAACCCUGAUGCAGCGACGCCGCGUGAGUGAAGAAGUAUUUCGGUAUGUAAAGCUCUAUCAGCAGGGAAGAUAAUGACGGUACCUGACUAAGAAGCCCCGGCUAACUACGUGCCAGCAGCCGCGGUAAUACGUAGGGGGCAAG
RNAcentral lists this ribosomal RNA (532 nucleotides) under uncultured bacterium. Its description in RNAcentral is "bacterial SSU rRNA". It matches the Rfam family "Bacterial small subunit ribosomal RNA", at positions 8 to 538 of the family's 1533-position model. The record is from RNAcentral.